Sceloporus undulatus (fence lizard) is the source of this 336-nucleotide long non-coding RNA. RefSeq lists it as uncharacterized. The record is from RefSeq and is a predicted model, not a curated record. NCBI's taxonomy places the organism in Eukaryota, Metazoa, Chordata, Lepidosauria, Squamata, Phrynosomatidae. The transcript has 2 exons.
GUUUUUGCCAGGGGGGAAAAAGCCCUACAUUUUAAAACCUUGUCCUAUGUUUUUCCCAGUUUGGAGGUCCUCAGGGAUGGCAACCCUAAUUCUGUGCCACCACUAAUCUUAUUUUUUGCUCCCCAGCAUGAUGGGCAAGAUGAUGACAGCAGCAGUAGCAGCUCCGACAGUGAUUCUGAAAAGGGUCACAGUGGUGACAAGAAGAAAAAGAAGGAAAAGAAAGAAAAGGAUUAACUUUCAGGCAGCCUAAAACUAGAGGAGGCAUUUUGGAGAGAAAGAAUCAAGUGUCUGAGUUUACUUUAUCCAAAAUAAAGCAUCUUUAGUGUUUUUACAUUA